RNAcentral lists this ribosomal RNA (497 nucleotides) under uncultured bacterium. RNAcentral's name for it is "partial 16S ribosomal RNA". It matches the Rfam family "Bacterial small subunit ribosomal RNA", at positions 28 to 507 of the family's 1533-position model. The record is from RNAcentral.
GAUGAACGCUGGCGGCGUGCCUAAUACAUGCAAGUCGAGCGAACGGACGAGAAGCUUGCUUCUCUGAUGUUGGCGCCGGACGGGUGAGUAACCCGUGGAUAACCUACCUAUAAGACUGGGAUAACUCCGGGAAACCGGAGCUAAUACCGGAGGAUAUUUUGACCCGCAUGGUUCAAAAGUGAAAGACGGUCUUGCUGUCACUAAUAGAUGGAUCCGCGCUGCAUUAGCUAGUUGGUAAGGUAACGGCUUACCAAGGCAACGAUGCAUAGCCGACCUGAGAGGGUGAUCGGCCACACUGGAACUGAGACACGGUCCAGACUCCUACGGGAGGCAGCAGUAGGGAAUCUUCCGCAAUGGGCGAAAGCCUGACGGAGCAACGCCGCGUGAGUGAUGAAGGUCUUCGGAUCGUAAAACCCUGUUAUUAGGGAAGAACAUAUGUGUAAGUAACUGUGCACAUCUUGACGGUACCUAAUCAGAAAGCCACGGCUAACUACGUG